GUAAAUAAUUAAGGGCGUAUGGUGGAUGCCUAGGCUCUCAGAGGCGAAGAAGGACGUGAUAAGCUGCGAAAAGCUCCGUUUAGGUGCAAAUAACCUUUGAUGCGGAGAUCUCCGAAUGGGAUAACCCAAUAUGUUGAAGACAUAUUAUACCGUAAGGUAGGCAAACGCAGGGAACUGAAACAUCUAAGUACCUGCAGGAGAAGAAAACAAAAGUGAUUCCCCCAGUAGCGGCGAGCGACCGGGGAUAAGCCCAAACCGUUAUUGUUUCGGCAGUAGCGGGGUAGUAGGACUGCGACAUUGAUGAAAUAAAUGAAAUGGAACACCUUGGAAAAUGUGAUCACAGAGGGUGAUAAUCCCGUACAUGCAAGUUUAUGAAUCAUAGCAGACUCCUGAGUAAGUCGGGACACGUGUAAUCCUGACCGAAUCCGCCGGGACCAUCCGGCAAGGCUAAAUACUCCUGAGAGACCGAUAGUGAACCAGUACCGUGAGGGAAAGGUGAAAAGCACUUCGAACAGAAGAGUGAAAUAGUCCCUGAACCCAUACGCCUACAAGCUGUCGGAGCCGCUUCGUGCGGUGACGGCGUGCCUUUUGCAUAAUGAGCCUACGAGUUACUCAUCACCAGCGAGGUUAAGUACUUCAGGUACGUAAGCCGAAGCGAAAGCGAGUCUGAAUAGGGCGUCAAGUUGGUGGUGGUAGACGCGAAACCUUAGUGAUCUACCCAUGGGCAGGGUGAAGGUUUGGUAACACAAACUGGAGGCCCGAACCGGUAAACGUUGAAAAGUUUUCGGAUGACCUGUGGGUAGGGGUGAAAGGCCAAUCAAACUGGGAAAUAGCUCGUACUCUCCGAAAUGCAUUUAGGUGCAGCCUCUGUUGUUUUGUUCUAGAGGUAGAGCUACUGAUUGGAUGCGAGGGCUUCACCGCCUAUCAAAUCCGGCCAAACUCCGAAUGCUAGAACAUGAAGACAGGGAGUGAGCCAGCGGGUGCUAAGGUCCGUUGACGAAAGAGGGAGAACUCAGACCAUCAGCUAAGGUCCCCAAUUAUAUGCUAAGUUGGAAUUAAAACGGGGUGGGACUGCUUAGACAGCUAGGAUGUUGGCUUGGAAGCAGCCAUUCAUUUAAAGAGUGCGUAACAGCUCACUAGUCGAGCGGUCCUGCAUGGAUAAUACGCGGGCAUAAGCAUAUAACCGAAGCUAUGGGAUUGUAGAUGAUACAAUCGGUAGGAGAGCAUUCCAUUCAGCAUAGAAGCAGUACCGUGAGGUAUUGUGGAGCGGAUGGAAAAGCAAAUGUAGGCAUAAGUAACGAUAAUGCGGGUGAGAACCCCGCACGCCGAAAGAUCAAGGAUUCCCCGGCAAUGUCAAUCAUCCGGGGGUAAGUCGGAUCCUAAGGGUAAGCCGAGUGGCGAUCCCGAUGGCAAACAGGUUAAUAUUCCUGUACUGAUCAUAACUGCGAUGCAGCGACGCAGAGGUGACACUGCUGCGUACUGACGGAAUAGUACGUUGAAACCCGUAUUCUUUGAUACCGGUAGUGAAGCACGCCGGUAGAGAUGAAAGGUGAUAGUACCGCAAUGCUUCGGUUGCGCGGAUAAUGCAGGUAAGCUGACUGCCAAGAAAACCUGCUAAGCUUCAGGUAAUGAUCAUCCGUACUGUAAACGGACACACGUGAUCAGGUAGAAAAUACUAAGGCGCUCGAGAGAUUCAUGGUUAAGGAACUAGGCAAAAUGGUCCUGUAACUUCGGGAUAAAGGACGCUCUUGUGAAAGAGCCGCAGAUAAUAGGCCCAGGCGACUGUUUACCAAAAACACAUGGCUAUGCUAAUUCGCAAGAAGAUGUAUAUGGCCUGACACCUGCCCGGUGCCGGAAGGUUAAGAGGAGAGCUCAGAGGCAACUCGAAGGUUUGAAUUGAAGCCCCGGUAAACGGCGGCCGUAACUAUAACGGUCCUAAGGUAGCGAAAUUCCUUGUCGGGUAAGUUC
RNAcentral lists this ribosomal RNA (1968 nucleotides) under human gut metagenome. RNAcentral describes it as "bacterial LSU rRNA". It matches the Rfam family "Bacterial large subunit ribosomal RNA", at positions 1 to 1983 of the family's 2925-position model. The record is from RNAcentral.